GGUGGUGUAGUAUAAUGGUUAGUACAAUUCGUUGUGGCUUGGAUUAAAUAAAACCGUCUUCAAUGAAUCCCGAAUAGAUCCAGGUUCGAUUCCUGGCACCGUCA
This is a non-coding RNA of Xylaria digitata, 104 nucleotides long. The record is from the annotation of a GenBank genome assembly. NCBI's taxonomy places the organism in Eukaryota, Fungi, Ascomycota, Sordariomycetes, Xylariales, Xylariaceae.